UAUCAUUAUUACGUCAAAAAA
This 21-nucleotide small nuclear RNA is filed under the name Arabidopsis thaliana (thale cress). RNAcentral describes it as "snRNA_18918". Lineage: Eukaryota; Viridiplantae; Streptophyta; Magnoliopsida; Brassicales; Brassicaceae. The record is from RNAcentral.